Molecule: ribosomal RNA, 543 nt
Filed under: uncultured bacterium
Lineage: Bacteria
Description: bacterial LSU rRNA
Rfam family: Bacterial large subunit ribosomal RNA
Source: RNAcentral
ACAGCAAGGUUAAGCCGGCAGGUGUAGCCGUAGCGAAAGCGAGUCUUAACAGGGCGUCAAGUUGCGUGGGUAGACCCGAAGCCGGGUGAUCUAUCCAUGUCCAGGGUGAAGUCUCGGUAACACGAGAUGGAGGCCCGAACCAUUGUUGGUUUGAAAACAGCUUGGAUGAGGUGUGGAUAGGAGUGAAAGGCUAAUCAAACUCGGUGAUAGCUGGUUUUCUCCGAAAUAUAUUUAGGUAUAGCCUUGCGAGUUGACUGACGGAGGUAAAGCACUGUUUGGGCUAGGGGUCCCACCGGAUUACCAACCCCAUACAAACUCUGAAUGCCGUCAAGUUCUAUCGCAGGAGUCAGACUGUGGGAGAUAAGUUCCAUGGUCGAGAGGGUAAGAGCCCAGACCGUCAGCUAAGGUCCCUAAACUGCACUAAGUGGAAAAGGAGGUGAAAUUGCUUAGACAACCAGGAGGUUGGCUUAGAAGCAGCAAUCCUUUAAAGAAAAGCGUAAUAGCUCACUGGUCUAGUGAAUUUGCGCCGAAAAUGUAACGGGG